Molecule: long non-coding RNA, 881 nt
Organism: Pipra filicauda (Wire-tailed manakin)
Lineage: Eukaryota; Metazoa; Chordata; Aves; Passeriformes; Pipridae
Exons: 4
Source: RefSeq, a predicted model, not a curated record
GGUUUUACUUGUUCCAUUACAUAAAAUAUUCAAAUUUGAAAAAAAGACCACAAGCCAUAAAAAUUACAAAUACCUAAAGAUAUUUUCAGAUAACAACAUUUCCCUUUUGCUCCUGCUGGACAUGGUCUCUGCCCUUUCAGCUCGCAGUGCAGCAGUUUCCAUUUCGAGGUGUGAUGUUCUCAGGUCAGACCUGGACACAGGAACCUACCCAAAAUAGGGGUGUCCUAAGCCUGGUUCAUGAACCACUUGCAAGCUCCCCUCAAAGUUGCAGAAGGGCUGGAACUGCAGAAAGCUGAGAUAAGAGCCCUACCCCUUCCUUGGCACGAUGAACACGAUAUGAAGGAUGAAGAGGAACUCAAGGAUCUCCUCUGCUGGUACCCUUGACUGCAACCCAGUUCUGCUUUCUGAAUUAGAAAGUUGAAUGUGAAACGGAUUAACAUAAAAACCUACAGAAAAGGGCAAGUGGCAUUUCUGACGUGCCUGAGACACCCGUGCCCACGUGACUCACAGUUCAUGACUCGUGGAGUGAUGCCAUUCAUGCUGUCAAGAUUUUCCUUUGUACAUAUCUGAUCGGUUCAUGCCAGGUUUGGCUCCACGCCUUUUCAGAGGAGAGCCUCUAUGAUGAGGACAAGGUGGUCAGGCACUCGGUGCAGCAAUGGAGACAAGAUUAGAAGCUGGGGUGGGAGGUGGCUCCUACUCCACUAAGGCAUGGGAUCUGUGAGAAAUACCUCAGGAACACAUUGUCAGAGGUGUAUCUUUUUUUCUGGAGAGAUAGGUAUUCCCUGGAUGUGCUGUGGCAGCUCCUCAGCUGCCAUAAAUCAGUAUAAAUGCAUUCAUUUUAGUGGAGGUGUCGCGUCUGCUGGUAGUCAGGUCCUGUGAUG